AAGCAACGCGAAGAACCUUACCAGGUCUUGACAUCCUCUGACAACCCUAGAGAUAGGGCGUUCCCCUUCGGGGGACAGAGUGACAGGUGGUGCAUGGUUGUCGUCAGCUCGUGUCGUGAGAUGUUGGGUUAAGUCCCGCAACGAGCGCAACCCUUGACCUUAGUUGCCAGCAUUUAGUUGGGCACUCUAAGGUGACUGCCGGUGACAAACCGGAGGAAGGUGGGGAUGACGUCAAAUCAUCAUGCCCCUUAUGACCUGGGCUACACACGUGCUACAAUGGAUGGUACAAAGGGCUGCAAGACCGCGAGGUUAAGCGAAUCCCAUAAAGCCAUUCUCAGUUCGGAUUGUAGGCUGCAACUCGCCUGCAUGAAGCCGGAAUCGCUAGUAAUCGCGGAUCAGCAUGCCGCGGUGAAUACGUUCCCGGGCCUUGUACACACCGCCCGUCACACCACGAGAGUUUGUAACACCCGAAGUCGGUGAGGUAACCUUUUGGAGCCAGCCGCCUAAGGUGGGACAGAUG
This 520-nucleotide ribosomal RNA is filed under the name uncultured bacterium. RNAcentral's name for it is "bacterial SSU rRNA". It matches the Rfam family "Bacterial small subunit ribosomal RNA", at positions 954 to 1473 of the family's 1533-position model. The record is from RNAcentral.